ACAAGCACAAAUCCAGCCCAAUCGUGUUCUGGGGAGUAUUUUUGGUGGGGUUCUUGGUAAAAUUUGCAUUCCAGGGGCUAAAUAUCACGUUACUGGGGUCGCUUUAACCCGCGGGAACAAUGUUAAAGUAGCCAAAUUCCGAGAGAAAACCGCAGACCAGGCAACACUGCCAACAGCAUGCAUGCAGUACUGUUGAGUAGAUUUGUUUGGUCAUAGCAUCCCCAGUGGUGACUUUAGGAAAAGUCGAUUAAAGGCUAUGAGUACAUUUUGCUUCAUUUGUAACUUUGUAACUUUUGCCCAGUUGGUGGCGUUAGCUAAAUGAAUUGGCCUGAUCUCAAUGUCAGACACUGAAUUUUGUUCCAAUUUGAAAAGGUACCGCCUCACUUCUGGCGUGGCAUCGUUGCGGUCGACAUUUUUAGCAUGUUAACAGAAAAUGGUAUAGAGAAUUAAAAACCCAUUUUUUGUUUACCCUCCGUUUGAAUAUCACUUUCACUGUGGGAAAGAUUAUGCAAAUGCAGAAAUCCAUUCUUGAACUCUUAUAGACUUCAGUUAUCUGUCUUUUUCUGAAAUAGGCCAGGCACAAACUAGCCCAGCACCACGGACAGGUAAUUAUACACCUUUGAAUUAGAACCAGAUCUGUUUUUCUCACNNNNNNNNNNNNNNNNNNNNNNNNNNNNNNNNNNNNNNNNNNNNNNNNNNNUUCUUUUUUUCUUUUUUUUUCAACGGCACAACAAAGUUUUCAAUUAUGUACCAUUUAUUCCUCAAUUAUGGGGUCAAGCUCACCAACAGCCAGGGUUGCCAGGUUUUCACAACAAAAGCCACCAAAUCGCUACUCAAAACAAGCACAAAUCCAGCCCAAUCGUGUUCUGGGGGUAUUUUUGGUGGGGUUCCUGGUAAAAUUUGCAUUCCAGGGGCUAAAUAUCACGUUACUGGGGUCGCUUUGACCCGCGGGAACAAUGUUAAAUGAAGUAGCCAAUUUCCGAGAGAAAACCGCAGACCAGGCAACACUGCCAACAGCAUGCAUGCAGUACUGUUGAGUGGAUUUGUUUGGUCAUAGCACCCCCAGUGGUGACUUUAGGAGAAGUGGAUUAAAGGCUAUGAGUACAUUUUGCUUCAUUUGUAACUUUGUAACUUUUGCCCAGUUGGUGGCGUUAGCUAAAUGAAUUGGCCUGAUCUCAGUGUCAGACACUGAAUUUUGUUCCAAUUUGCAAAGGUACCGCCUCACUUCUGGCGUGGCAUCGUUGCGGUCGACAUUCUUAGCAUGUUAACAGAAAAUGGUAUAGAGAAUUAAAAAUCCAUUUCUUGUUUACCGUCCGUUUGAAUAUCACUUUCACUGUGGGAAAGAUUAUGCAAAUGCAGAAAUCCAUUCUUGAACUCUUAUAGACUUCAGUUAUCUCUCUUUUUCUGAAAUAGGCCAGGCACAAACUAGCGCAGCACAACUGACAGGUAAUUAUACACCUUUGAAUUAGAACCAGAUCUGUUUUUCAAACCACCUGUAAAACAGCCUAAACAUUUGAUUGAACUGGACAAAUC
Long non-coding RNA from Cyprinus carpio (common carp), 1533 nucleotides. The record is from Ensembl. Lineage: Eukaryota; Metazoa; Chordata; Actinopteri; Cypriniformes; Cyprinidae.